Molecule: ribosomal RNA, 421 nt
Filed under: uncultured bacterium
Lineage: Bacteria
Description: partial 16S ribosomal RNA
Source: RNAcentral
ACGGCCAGGACUACAGGGGUAUCUAAUCCCUUUCGCUCCCCUGGCUUUCGUCCAUGAGCGUCAGUAAUGGCCCAGCAGAGCGCCUUCGCCACUGGUGUUCUUCCCGAUAUCUACGCAUUUCACCGCUACACCGGGAAUUCCCUCUGCCCCUACCAUACUCAAGCCUUUCAGUUUCCACUGCCAUGAUGGAGUUAAGCUCCACGCUUUAACAGCAGACUUGAAAAGCCGCCUGCGGACGCUUUACGCCCAAUAAUUCCGGAUAACGCUUGCCACUCCCGUAUUACCGCGGCUGCUGGCACGGAAUUAGCCGUGGCCUAUUCCUCAAGUACCGUCAUAUCUUCUUCCUUGAGAAAAGAGGUUUACAGCCCAGAGGCCUUCGUCCCUCACGCGGCGUUGCUCCGUCAGGCUUUCGCCCAUUGCG